Non-coding RNA from Taeniopygia guttata (zebra finch), 518 nucleotides. The record is from RefSeq and is a predicted model, not a curated record. Lineage: Eukaryota; Metazoa; Chordata; Aves; Passeriformes; Estrildidae.
AGCAAAGGAGGGAAUAUCAGGUUAUUUCAGGCUCUUAUGACUGCCCACUGUAAACCUCCUUUGUUUGAGCAGACAAGGAGAGGAGGAGGAAGGUUAAACUGGACUGAGUCAUCCUUGAGGUUGCUUGGGUGGGAGAUGAAGUUUUUCAGAUACAAAUCAUUAAGUAAAAGAUCAUCCCUUUUCACUCUAUUGACUAGCACAAAUGUCUGAGCCUUCCUUAGAAUAGCAAUGUAUUCAGGAUGCUAACGAAAAGAAACAAUGAAGCUAAUAGAUCAUCUGGAUAGAAAUAGAUGUUUCAGACUCCCAGGACUUGCUGUGGAAAACCUGGCUGUGACUCCAUGGGGUUGGCCACAGGAGGUCACAGGGAGAAGCCACCUCAGCUGUUGGUUGCACUCUGUGCUGCUCCUUGUGAUACAGAAAGAGUACAUUGGAAAGUAACUGCUAAGUCUGGAUAGCAAACUAGACUAAGCCAAGCAAUUGUUCACCCAAAAUUUGUUUUCAUCAAAGUGUUAACAAAU